GGGUGAGAAAAAUGAAAGUCAAACAAAUGUUGAGCUGGAUGUGGGGGACAAUUCUGUUAUACCANANAAUCACAUGGCAGGUGAUCCACAAGGAAAAGGGAGCAGGAAAAGCAUGAGGCGUAAGAGAGAGAAUCUAUUUAUGAAGGAUUACGUGCUCUGAGGGCGCUAUGCGUGUNGUAUGUUCUCUNUGACCAAUUCUGUUAUUCCCANUCUUCUUACAGUACAAUCUCUCCUUCUGAAAUUCUUCUUCUCUGAAUGAACCAGGUUAUUACUAUUGGAAUGCUUCCACUGUUGGCUGAAUACCUUUCACUAUAUUAUUCAGUUUCUUUUUGUUCAUUAUGAAAUACCCAUAUCAGACCUCUGUCAUAUUUUGGUUGCAAUAAAACUAUCCAUUCUAGAGUUUAUUUUAAUUCAUUCUUAGUUCCUAUUUGGUCAUUGCUAUAUAUCCUAGUAUUUCGGGGUUGUUUUUUUUGGUUACCGUUUCAUUGGUGCUUUCAUUGACGUCAUGGCUGAGAACACCCGUUUGAAGGAUCUCAAGCAAAAGUACAUAGUCAUUCCGAUGAACUUCGCAAACUCAUGGAUCUUCUUGAAAUUCGUGACCGGGAACAACGGGCUCAUACUCAACAAGUUCAGGCUGAUGCGCAAGCUCGUAUGGAUCAACUUCAACAAUCUUUAGAGUUAAUCGUGAAAUUGCAAUCUCAGUUUCAUGGUGUCACUUCGGGAGCAAAUCCGUUGCAUGUUGCAUUACUGGCUAAGGACAUAUCCUUGGGCUUUCCCCAUUUCGAUGGCCAAUCAUCGGUGUUAGUGUGGAUUUUUAAGGCAGAAAAGUUCUUUAACUAUCACCACACGCCGGAUGCGGAGAUAGUAGAUAUUGCUGCGAUGCAUUUCGAAAAAGAUGUAGUGCCUUGGUUUCAAAUGCUUCAAAGGCUAUCUGCGGUCAAACAUGGACAAAAUUGACGCAUGCUUUGGAAUCUCAGUUUGGACCCUCUCCUUUUGAUUGUCCAAUGGCAAAGCUUUUUAAAUUAAGCCAAACUAGCAUCGUUUCUGAUUAUUACCUGAAGUUUAUGUCGUUGGCAAAUAGAUCUGUGGGGUUAUCUGAUGAAGCGUUAUUAAAUUAUUUCUUGAGUGGGUUAAAUGCUGAGAUUAGACGUGAUGUGGUGGUUCAAACUCCUACUUCUUUGUUACGAGCAGUAGCUUUGGCAAAGUUAUAUGAGGAACGAUACUCGCCCACGGUUAAAUUUAAUCAUGUGCCUGUUAGACGAUAUUCUCCAUUGUCUUCAACGAGUUUGCAUACUUCACAACAACCGCUCAAACCUGGGGUUAAACCAUCUCUUCCACCAUUAUUACCAAAACCUACAAUUCCACCUUUGAACAAUAGUAAUGUCAAAAGAAUCAGUCCAACGGAAAUGCAACUUCGCAGAGAAAAGGGAUUAUGUUAUUUUUGUGAUGACAAAUUUACUUUUAAUCACAAGUGUCCAAAUAGACAGUAUUUGUUUUUGAAUUUGGAGGAUGACUCGUUGGAUCCUGAUUAUGAGCCGCCACCAGAUAUUGAUCAGCAGGUUGUUAAUGAAGAUAUUGGGGUUGACAACCAUCAUUUAUCUCUGAAUGCUCUUAAAGGUGGAGUGGGGGUGGGUACAAUUCGAUUAUUAGCUUACAUUGAUAAGCUACCUAUCACGGUUUUGGUGGAUGGAGGGAGUUCAAAUAAUUUUUUGCAUCCCCGCCUGGCAAAAUUCUUGAAGCUUCCGGUCGAACCAGCACCCAUGUUCAAAGUCAUGGUCGGCAAUGGAAAUUAUAUGGCAGCCGAGGGUUUCAUUCAGAAAUUGGCCCUCCAUGCUCAAGGGCAUUUGUUUCACAUACCUGUCUAUUUACUUCCAAUUUUAGGGGCUGAUUUGAUUCUGGGAGCUAAUUGGCUGAAAACCUUAGGUCCCCAUGUAGCCGAUUAUGAAUCCUUGAAUUUAAAAUUUUUGUAUUAAGGUAAAUUUGUAACAUUACAAGGAGAUGUUGAUAAUGUUCCCCUGCAGGCUCAAUUGCAUCAUAUUCGCAGGAUGGUCCACACAAAUUCCUUUGCCGAGGUUUAUAGCAUGCAAAUGGUGGAUACUAAUGUGCAAUCUUUGCCUUUGACAGAGUUACCACCUAAUAUAGACCCUAAAAUUGUCUUACUAUUGCGCACCUAUGCUUCUGUGUUCCAUACACCUUCCAAUUUGCCUCCUCCGCAUGCACAUGACCAUUCUAUUCCAUUAAUCGAAGGAUCAACUCCGGUGAAGGUGAAACCAUAUCGCUAUCCUCAUAGUAAAAAAGAAGAGAUUGAAAGGCUUGUUACUGAGAUUGAAAGCCCUUUUUCUUCACCAAUUAUACUUGUGAAAAAGAAAUAUGGUUCUUGGCGAGUUUGCACUGAUUAUAGAGCAUUGAAUGCAAAUACUAUAAAGGACAAUUUUCCAAUACCAACUGUGGAUGAGCUGAUUGAUGAACUUUUUGGUGCCACGAUUUUUUCUAAGUUUGAUUUGAGAUCAGGGUAUCAUCAAAUCUUGUUGAACCCGCAGGAUCAUUACAAAAUUGGUUUUCGUACGCAUCAUGGACAUUUCGAAUGGCUUGUCAUGCCAUUUGGAUUAACAAAUGCUCCAGCCACUUUUCAAAGUCUUAUGAAUCAUAUUUUUCAAGGAUUAUUGAGAAAAUUUGUUCUUGUUUUUUUCGAUGAUAUCCUUGUAUAUAGUUCUUCAUUCAAGGAUCAUGUGUAUCAUUUAGAAGUGGUUUUGAAGAUUUUACAACAGCAUUAGUUGUACGCAAGGUUUUCCAAAUGUUCAUUUGGAGUUGAAGAAAUUGAUUAUCUUGGUCAAACCAUUUCUGGAUCUGGGGUUGCCAUGGAUGAUAAAAAGGUGGAGGCUGUCAAAUUGUGGCCACGACCCAGUAACUUGAAACAAUUGCGUGGGUUCCUUGGUCUCACAGGGUAUUACCGACGAUUUGUUAAAGGGUAUGCCCAAAUUGCUGCUCCACUAACAAAAUUGUUGAAGAAAAAUGCCUUUAAAUGGACUGAAGCAGCAACCAUGGCCUUUAUCCAAUUGAAGGAAGCACUCACUACAACACCGGUCUUGGCACUACCAAAUUUUUCGGCUCCUUUUGUUCUUGAAACAGAUGCUUCUGGUUUGGGGUAGGAGCAGUUUUAAGUCAAGGUAAUCAUCCCAUUGCUUAUUUCUCUAAGAAAUUGUCUACGAGAAUGCAAAAGCAGUCUGCAUAUACUCGGGAAUUUUACGCGAUCACCGAGGCCUUGGCCAAAUUUCGACACUACCUGUUGGGCCAUAAGUUUAUUAUUAAAGCAGAUCAAAAGAGCUUAAAGGAGUUAGUAGAGCAACGUUUGCAGACUCCGGAACAGCAACAAUGGUUACCAAAGUUUUUGGGUUUUUAUUUCACAAUCCAAUAUAAAUCGGGAAAAGAGAAUGUCCCAGCCGAUGCAUUAUCUAGAAGUAUUAUGAUGGCAUGGUCAGAGCCAACUAAUCAAUGGCUAAAAAAGGUGGUUGUAGUAUCUCAAAAGGAUAAACGGUUGAAGGAUUUAUAUGAUCAGUGUUUGACUGAUAAGUUGCAAUCUCCAGAAUAUUUAAUCAAGGAUGGGUUAUUGCUUUGGAAGGGUCGUAUCAUGCUGCCAGAGGAUGAUGAUAUUAUCAAUCAGGUGCUCUUGGAAUUUCAUUCUUCCAAGAUCGGAGGACAUGCUGGAGUUGCCAAAACCAUUGCUCGAAUUUCUUCCCAAUUUUUUUGGCCUGCCAUGCAACAACGGAUUAGAAAAUUUGUUCGGGAAUGCCAAAUUUGCCAACAAGCUAAAGUGAAGCAAGCUUUACCUGCGGGGUUAUUACAGCCCUUGCCAAUUCCAUUACAUGUGUGGGAUGACAUAGCAAUGGAUUUCGUUACUUGCUUGCCUUUGUCACAUGGGUUCUCCACAAUAAUGGUAGUAGUUGACAAACUUUCCAAGUUUGGUCAUUUCAUUCCACUUAAGGCACAAUAUACUAGUAAGACAGUUGCUGAAGUUUUUAUUAACAACAUAGUUAAGCUGUAUGGUAUCCCUCGUUCCAUAGUCUCUGACAGGGACGGAGUUUUCAUUAGUUCAUUUUGGCAACAUCUUUUCAAGGCUAAGGUACUACACUUGCUAUGAGUUCUUCAUACCAUCCACAGUCAGAUGGACAGACCGAGGUUUUGAAUAAAACAUUAGAAAUGUAUCUUCGAUGUUUCACUUUUGAAAAUCCAAAAGGAUAGUAUUAUAUGCUUCCUUGGGCUCUAUUUUGGUACAAUUCUUCCUUACACCAGAGUAUUGGCAUGUCCCCUUUCAAGGCUUUAUAUGGGAGAGACCCUCCUACUGUUAUAAGGUAUGAAAUUGCUUCUACAGAUCCUGUUUCUGUACAAGAUAUGCUCCAAACUCGUGAUACACUCCUGCAGCUAUUGAAAACAAAUCUACUUAAGGCUCAGCAGUACAUGAAACAACAAGCUGAUAAAAGAAGAAGGGAUAUACACUUUGCAGUAGGGGAAUUAGUCUUAGUCAAACUACAACCUUAUAGACAACAUUUUGUUGCCUUAAGGAAAAAUUAGAAAUUAUGUAUGUGGUAUUUUGGUCCGUUUGAAGUGGUGGAAAAAAUUCACCCAGUGUUCCAUGUCUCCUUUCUUAAGGCUUUUAAGGGUAGUCCUUCACAAACUUAUUUACCUUUGCCUUUGACUACCACUGAUAUUGGUCCAAUUGUCCAUCCUUUGAAAGUUUUGGAAUCUAGAACCAUUAUACGACAGUCUCAAUCGAUUCCUCAAAUUUUAAUUCAAUGGGAUUCCUUAGAUACCACUGAUGCCACUUGGGAGGAUGUAGCUGAGAUCCAACAGUCUUUUCUAGAAUUCAACCUUGAGGACAAGGUUGUUUUCAAUGGGAGGAGUAUUGUAACGGGUGAGAAAAAUGAAAGUCAAACAAAUGCUGAGUUGGAUGUGAGGGACAAUUCUGUUAUACCAAAAAAUCACAUGGCAGGUGAUCCACAAGGAAAAGGGAGCAGGAAAAGCAUGAGGCGUAAGAGAGAGAAUCUAUUUAUGAAGGAUUACGUGCUCUGAGGGCGCUAUGCGUGUNGUAUGUUCUCUNUGACCAAUUCUGUUAUUCCCANUCUUCUUACAGUACAAUCUCUCCUUCUGAAAUUCUUCUUCUCUGAAUGAACCAUGAACCAGGUUAUUACCAUUGUGAGAUGACUACUAGAAUGCUUCCACUGUUGGCUGAAUACCUUUCACUAUAUUAUUCAGUUUCUUUUUGUUCAUUAUGAAAUACCCAUAUCAGACCUCUGUCAUAUUUUGGUAGCAAUAAAACUAUCCAUUCCAGAGUUUAUUUUAAUUCAUUCUUAGUUUCUAUUUGGUCAUUGCUAUAUAUCCUAGUAUUUCGGGACUGUUUUUUUUUGUUAUUGUUUCACUAAGCAAGCGAUUUUCCCCCUUCGCUUUUGUAGCUAAAGUUUUUUUUUUUUUUUU
RNAcentral lists this long non-coding RNA (5469 nucleotides) under Vigna radiata. RNAcentral describes it as "long non-coding RNA (VRAD_LNC008895)". Lineage: Eukaryota; Viridiplantae; Streptophyta; Magnoliopsida; Fabales; Fabaceae. The record is from RNAcentral.